Long non-coding RNA from Salvia miltiorrhiza (redroot sage), 3137 nucleotides. RefSeq lists it as uncharacterized. NCBI's taxonomy places the organism in Eukaryota, Viridiplantae, Streptophyta, Magnoliopsida, Lamiales, Lamiaceae. The record is from RefSeq and is a predicted model, not a curated record. The transcript is spliced from 2 exons.
AACACUUCCUCUAUUCUCUAUAACUUCCUCCAUGGCCGACUGUUCUUCAACAUUCGUCUUCUUUAAUUCCUAAUCUCCACAGAUUUUCACAAAUUUUCUACUAUCACGAAAUGUAUCUCGACCCAUUCACCACCAGAGCUACCUCCACAGCCUAAUCUCCCACCUCACCGAUUGACUAUGGACUAAUUUUCCAUAAAAAUAUGUCGAAGGUGCCUUCGGAAUUUAGGUUUUACAUAACCUUUGACAUAUUUCUAUGGAAAAUUAGCCCAUGGCCUAUGGACUUUGAAAUUUUACAUGACCCUGGGGAUUUGUAUGGUGCGAUCGGUGGCAGUCGAGAUACAUUUUCUGAUAGCAGGAAUUGUUGGUAAUUCGAAAAUGACUGCGGAUCUCAGUAUUCCUAUUAAUGCUAGGCAAUUCAUCGCGUUCACUACCACUAAUAUGUGAAGCGGCAGUUGCAGCAGCAGAUUCGAUCAAUUACCUGAACUUGAUUGAAGUUUUGCAUUAUUACGCCGGAUUGGAAUGGUGGGCAUCAAUUGCUGCUACAACUCUUUUGAUGCGUUUCAUUCUUGUUCCUUUUCAAAUAUAGUGCCUGCAAUUCUGAUCCAAAAAUUACACAACUGUAAGUUCUCUACCCGAUUUUGCCUAUGCACAUUUUGGAUUUCAUAUAUACAGAUUGCAUCAUUACUUUCAAUAACAGUUUAAAUUGGAGGAAAUGUUCGUCGCACAUAUUUGUAGAUAAUGAAUUGCUUAAAUGUAUGCUAAAAAUUAUCUUUUUAGACGAUUUGUUAUCAUAUUCAAUGCAAUACUGAAAAUAUCAUUGAGAAAAUUAUUGUGAAUAAAGUUUGUUAAAAUAUGUAUUAAAUUUACAAAAAGUCAAAUAUCAGGGCGAUCUUGAGUUGUUUGUCGCAACAGAUUAUUAUUAUUAUUAUUUAUUUUUUUCCCAUUUAGGCUUAUUGCAUGUCAUUGUGAUAAAUAAAUUCGAUUUUUCAAAUCUUUGAACUAAUGUCAAUGCAUAAAGGUGUAUACGCCCCAUAUCUCUUAGGCCUCCAAUAAAUGUUGCGGGAAAAACAAAUCUCUUGAGUCUUGCCAAUUUCAUUCUCUAUCAAUUCUCCUUUGAAAAUUCCCUCAAAAAAAGAAAAAAAAACAACAACAACAACAGAAAGAAAUCUCCUUUGAAAACACUAUCAACAACUCUUUGAUAUAAUUCUGCCUCAUACUUGAUUGGUUAAAGUGAUAAAAAUCUAGCCUUGUCGUCUCUAAUUUUAUAUACAUAUCAUCAACAAAUUAUUGUAACAUUAUUCCUGCUAAUAAAAGUAUGGAUUCUUUUGUAUUUAUGAUUGCUUAUAGCAAAUAUAUUCUUGUCAUAUACAUUCUUAUUAUUUUGCUUUAUUAAAUCAAAAAGAGUUGAAGUGAGAAGAUAAUGUCUGGUAGAUCAAAGGAAAAGACUACAUUUUUCAAUAUUCUCAUAUAUAUGGAGCAUCGAAAUUUGUGGCAAUAUUAAGUUGUUAAUUCGGAUUAAUUUAUUCAAAAUGGUAGCAAGUACUAUAAGUUUAAGGAUUAAUUUAUUCAAAAUGGUGGCAAACAACUUUAAUUAUUUUUCAACUAUUCUUAUCUUUACUUUUUUACUCAUGUUAUUAUUGUUUAAUACUUAAUAAUAAAUAAACACAUUAACAUGUAGAGUGAAUUUUUAAAAUGGCCACUUUUAUAUUGUAAAAAUAAAAAAUGUCCACUAAAAUAAAAAACUUAAAAAAUAUCCACUGUUACCAAAAUACCCUUCACAUUAAAAAUUAAAAAAAUGUCCACUUUACAUCACCCCUUUAAAAAAUCCCGCAAUUCACAACCAGCGUGAAUUCACAACCAAAAUUUUUUGGUUGUGAAUUCACACUGGUUGUGAAUUGUGAAUUCACAACCAAUCGAAUUCACAACCAGAAUUUUUUGUUUGUGAAUUCACAACCAGUCGAAUUCACAACCAGAAUUUUUUUAGUGUGAAUUCACAACUAGUCAAAUUCACAACCAAAAUUUAAUUCACAAUUAGAAUUUAUUUUGGUUGUGAAUUCGAGUUUUAGUUGUGAAUUCAUAGAUCUGGUUGUGAAUUCAAGAAUAUUAAGUUGUGAAUUCAUCGAAUUGGUUGUGAAUUCAAGAAUAUUAAGUUGUGAAUUCAUCGAGUUGAUUGUGAAUUCAUCGAGCUGGUUGUGAAUUCAAGAACAUUAAGUUGUGAAUUCAUAAAUCUGAUUGUGAAUUUACAAAUAUUAAGCUGUAAAUUUAUAGAUUCGCGAAUUCAUAGAUCUAACUUCAAAUAAAAAGAAUAAAUCAACCAUAACUGUUCUUGGUAACUCUUCUUGGCGAACCAGAUCCAAAUUCAGGCGAAUAUCAGGCAAUGAAAUAAUUAGCAUAAGCACCUUCAAUUUAAACUUUAGAUAAAAGAAUCAAAAUUAAACAAGUUGCUGUAGAGAAUGGAAAAAUCAAAUACAUACUUACAAAUUAAUGUAGUAAAAUAAACUCUCAUAGAUAUGCGUGAACCACAAAUCUUAAAUUUGCAAUUCUAGGAAAACGUGUUGUUUUUAAUCAAAACAAAUCUUCAACAUUUGAAUUCGUCAAAUGUUUUUCUCAAAAAUCGAGAACUAAUUGAAAAGCAAAAUAAAGAAAAAGAAUGAGUAUGGCGGCAGCUGCAUUUUUUUUCUCCGCGGCACAGAGGAUGCGCUGAUGUAGGCGAACGGAGAGGGAGGCUUCCGAAGGCGUGUCGAACCAGGGAGGCGGCGCGACGGAGUCAAAGGUGCCGAGCCAGAAGCGCGUCUUCUUCCCCGGCGAGUCAGCAGUGGCGGAGCAACGCUGCCGCGUGCGCGUCUCCCUCCGUCUCAGAACAGCAGCGUUGCGGUGGUGGUGGGCGGCGACUGUGGAGCGGCGGCGAGGACGAGAAGGAGAGGAAGAGGAAGAGGGGGGGAGAGAGAGAGAGAGAGAGAGAGAGAGAGAGAGAGAGACAGACAGACAGACGUGAAGGUGAAGAGAGAGAGGAGAGAAAGAGAGAAAUGGGUGGCCAUUUUUUUAAAUUUUAAAGUAAGGGGUAUUUCUGUCUUUUCAAUAAAAAAGUGGACAGUUUUUAUUAUUUUUAUCUUAGUGGACAAUUUUAAUCUUUACAA